RNAcentral lists this ribosomal RNA (361 nucleotides) under uncultured bacterium. RNAcentral's name for it is "partial 16S ribosomal RNA". It matches the Rfam family "Bacterial small subunit ribosomal RNA", at positions 338 to 696 of the family's 1533-position model. The record is from RNAcentral.
CCUACGGGUGGCAGCAGUGAGGAAUAUUGGUCAAUGGGCGGAAGCCUGAACCAGCCAAGUCGCGUGCAGGAUGACGGCCCUACGGGUUGUAAACUGCUUUUGUACGGGAAUAACGCCCCUUACGUGUAGCUCUUUGCAUGUACCGUAUGAAUAAGGCUCGGCUAAUUCCGUGCCAGCAGCCGCGGUAAUACGGAAGGUCCGGGCGUUAUCCGGAUUUAUUGGGUUUAAAGGGGGCGUAGGCCGCCUGUCAAGCGUGCUGUGAAAUGUCCGGGCUCAACCCCGGCCUUGCAGCGCGAACUGGCGGGCUUGAGAGGGCGGAAGGUAGGCGGAAUGCGUCGUGUAGCGGUGAAAUGCUGAGAUA